UUCACGUGAAAUAAGGUUACCCAACCUAAAAUAAUCAGCGCCCUGCACUCUGGUACACUUCCGAAUAAUCAUUUCACUCUCAUGGGUACGAUGAAUGUGCUCUAGUGUGAUUUCAAUAUCAAAAUACCUGAUAAAUGUUGCAAGAGAUUAGAAAAAUAAUCUAUCUUAGUCAUUUAUGUGGUACAUACUUGUAUAUACAUAACUGACGAAAUGCCUUUCGAAUUAAUGUGCUUCAAUUAUUUCAAACUGCAUAUUUCCCAAUUAUUUCAUCAAAUCAAAAUGUAAAAAUGGCCCGGAAAAUAUGAUACCAAAAACGAAGAAAAUGCUCCUAAUCAGCCUGCUGACUUUUAUUCUAAUACAGUUGAAAAUCAUCAGCUCGAAUUCUCUUCCAAAUGAUUUUGAAACACUGCUGGUAAAAAAUGACCUCAAAAGCUUAUCAACUGCACUUACCACCUCGAACCAAGAAACAAGAACCCUCUUGGAGACCAAACUAGUGCAAUGGGUAUCUGAAAAAUUCCGUAUAAUACCGGAUGAAUUUCGUUCUUUUGUCGCUAGAAUCCCUCAAGAAGAAAUAUACAAAUUCCAAGACUCCUUACAGGUAUAUCUCGAUACAGCUGGCAGUAUUUACCCUCUGAAUGAAACAACAUCCCAACUAUUCUAUCCCAGUUUUAUGUUAGCUGUUAAAAAUGCAUUAUCGACCAGCCACACCAUAUCUCCGCCCGAUCAAGGAUUCGAUAAAAUGAACGAUACGCUGUUUUUGCCGAUUCUGGGUCAAAGCGAUGCUGCCAUUUUCAUCACUUAUAAGAUAAUCGCAGAAGAGCCAAAUAAGUUGAAAUCGACUGCUAAAGCUGGACUAUGGGAUAUGUAUUUCCGUCCUUAUGAUGACCGUUGGAAACCAUUAUCGCAUAUUAAAAAAAUUAUCGAAAUAUGCAUGGCUUUCUGCAACGAAAAAGUUCAUGUGCAAUUCAGUAUUGAAAAAUUUAAGCAAAGUUGAUUAAUAUUCGCGUACAUUGUGUGUAAGGAAGAGAAAAGUGCAGACAAACUGGUUGAUUUUUUUCAAAAUUGUUGUGAAUUUUAAUUUUAUGCAGGUAGGAGGAGGAAAUGAUGGGUUGAGAAUAAGUAUUUAAUCAAUUGUGUUAUUACAAUGUACCCAUUAAGUAACAAAUAUACACUAUUUUCAACAUAAAAUCGUAAA
Long non-coding RNA from Planococcus citri (citrus mealybug), 1195 nucleotides. RefSeq lists it as uncharacterized. Lineage: Eukaryota; Metazoa; Arthropoda; Insecta; Hemiptera; Pseudococcidae. The record is from RefSeq and is a predicted model, not a curated record. The transcript has 2 exons.